This 466-nucleotide ribosomal RNA is filed under the name uncultured bacterium. RNAcentral's name for it is "bacterial SSU rRNA". It matches the Rfam family "Bacterial small subunit ribosomal RNA", at positions 335 to 793 of the family's 1533-position model. The record is from RNAcentral.
AUCCUACGGGAGGCAGCAGUGGGGAAUAUUGCACAAUGGGCGCAAGCCUGAUGCAGCCAUGCCGCGUGUGUGAAGAAGGCCUUCGGGUUGUAAAGCACUUUCAGUCGUGAGGAAGGUAGUGUAGUUAAUAGCUGCAUUAUUUGACGUUAGCGACAGAAGAAGCACCGGCUAACUCCGUGCCAGCAGCCGCGGUAAUACGGAGGGUGCGAGCGUUAAUCGGAAUUACUGGGCGUAAAGCGCAUGCAGGUGGUUUGUUAAGUCAGAUGUGAAAGCCCGGGGCUUAACCUGGGAAUUGCAUUUGAAACUGCUUGGCUAGAGUCCUUGAGAGGGGGUAGAAUUUCAGGUGUAGCGGUGAAAAUGCGUAGAGAUCUGAAGGAAUACCGGUGGCGAAGGCGGCCCCCCUGGACAGAUACUGACACUCAGAUGCGAAAGCGUGGGGAGCAAACAGGAUUAGAUACCCUGGUAG